UAGCAGUGGGGAAUAUUGCGCAAUGGGCGAAAGCCUGACGCAGCCACGCCGCGUGUGCGAUGAAGGUCUUCGGAUCGUAAAGCACUGUGGGGGGAGAAGAAUAAAGCCGGUGAAGAGCCGGCCCUGACGGUAUCCCCUUAGCAAGCACCGGCUAACUCCGUGCCAGCAGCCGCGGUAAUACGGAGGGUGCAAACGUUGCUCGGAAUCACUGGGCGUAAAGCGCACGUAGGCGGCCAAGUAAGUUGGAUGUGAAAGCCCUGGGCUCAACCCAGGAAGUGCAUCCAAAACUGCUUGGCUUGAGUACCGGAGGGGUUCAGAGAAUUCCUGGUGUAGAGGUGAAAUUCGUAGAUAUCAGGAGGAAUACCAGUGGCGAAGGCGCUGAACUGGACGGUAACUGACGCUGAGGUGCGAAAGCGUGGGUAGCAAACACGAUUACAUACCCCUGGUAGAG
This 451-nucleotide ribosomal RNA is filed under the name uncultured bacterium. RNAcentral describes it as "bacterial SSU rRNA". It matches the Rfam family "Bacterial small subunit ribosomal RNA", at positions 349 to 793 of the family's 1533-position model. The record is from RNAcentral.